Bradysia coprophila is the source of this 144-nucleotide long non-coding RNA. The record is from RefSeq and is a predicted model, not a curated record. Lineage: Eukaryota; Metazoa; Arthropoda; Insecta; Diptera; Sciaridae.
CCCAAAUUUGUAUCAAAGCAUGAAACAAAUUCCACCCAUGGAGUGGCUUCUAUUCUUAACAAAAAUUGCCCUAUUAUAUUUAUCCAGAACCAUGUAAACUGGCCUGAUUCAGGAGAAACAGGAGAAACUUCUUAAUCAGUUCUU